RNAcentral lists this ribosomal RNA (971 nucleotides) under Ramaria cf. gracilis AGK 032. Its description in RNAcentral is "eukaryotic LSU rRNA". It matches the Rfam family "Eukaryotic large subunit ribosomal RNA", at positions 1 to 952 of the family's 3401-position model. The record is from RNAcentral. Lineage: Eukaryota; Fungi; Basidiomycota; Agaricomycetes; Gomphales; Gomphaceae.
CAAAUCAGGUAGGACUACCCGCUGAACUUAAGCAUAUCAAUAAGCGGAGGAAAAGAAACUAACCAGGAUUCCCCUAGUAACGGCGAGUGAAGCGGGAAGAGCUCAAAUUUGUAAUCUGGCGGUCUCAGGCCGUCCGAGUUGUAGUCUAGAGAAGCGUCUUCCGUGCCGGCCCGUGUACAAGUCCCUUGGAACAGGGCGUCAUAGAGGGUGAGAAUCCCGUCUUUGACACGGACUGCCGGUGCUCUGUGAUGCGCUCUCGAAGAGUCGAGUUGUUUGGGAAUGCAGCUCAAAACGGGUGGUAAAUUCCAUCUAAAGCUAAAUAUUGGCGAAAGACCGAUAGCGAACAAGUACCGUGAGGGAAAGAUGAAAAGCACUUUGGAAAGAGAGUUAAACAGUACGUGAAAUUGUUGAAAGGGAAACGCUUGAAGUCAGUCGGCGUCUUCCGGGACUCAGCUGGACACUCGUGUCCGGUGUACUUCCCGGUCUGACGGGCCAGCAUCGAUUUCGAUCGUCGGMGAAAGGCUCAGGGAACGUGGCACCUCCGGGUGUGUUAUAGCCCUGGGUCGUAUGCSACAGGUGGGGAUUCGAAGRAUCGCASCACGCCYUCACWUGSSCGGGGUUCGCCCACGCAACGUGCUUAGGAUGCUGGCGUAAUGGCUUUAAGCGACCCGUCUUGAAACACGGACCAAGGAGUCUAACAUGCCUGCGAGUGUUUGGGUGGAAAACCCGGACGCGGAAUGAAAGUGAAAAGUUGGGACCUCUGUCGUGGAGGGCACCGACUCCCGGACCAGACCUUCUGUGACGGUUCCGAGGUAGAGCAUGUAUGUUGGGACCCGAAAGAUGGUGAACUAUGCCUGAGUAGGGUGAAGCCAGAGGAAACUCUGGUGGAGGCUCGUAGCGAUUCUGACGUGCAAAUCGAUCGUCGAACUUGGGUAUAGGGGCGAAAGACUAAUCGAACCAUCAAUUCCCCU